This 247-nucleotide ribosomal RNA is filed under the name uncultured bacterium. Its description in RNAcentral is "partial 16S ribosomal RNA". It matches the Rfam family "Bacterial small subunit ribosomal RNA", at positions 57 to 305 of the family's 1533-position model. The record is from RNAcentral.
GCAAGUCGAGGGGUAACAUUGUGCUUGCACAGAUGACGACCGGCGCACGGGUGCGUAACGCGUAUAGAAUCUACCUUAUACUAGGGAAUAGCCUUUGGAAACGAAGAUUAAUGCCCUAUAGUAUGAUUACUUGGCAUCAGGUAAUCAUUAAAGGUUACGGUAUAAGAUGACUAUGCGUUCUAUUAGCUAGAUGGUAAGGUAACGGCUUACCAUGGCAACGAUAGAUAGGGGUCCUGAGAGGGAGAUC